GCUGGGAUGUGCUUGUAAUCGCGGGGUCAUAAGGUCGGGGGGAGCAGCCUUGUCGUGCCACAUUAGGACACCCAAUCGUCACCCCGAGUCGUUAGUUGAGAUAGUCGGCGGUUCAGUGUGUGGUAAGCGAGACGAACCCCGACCACUGAUCGCCCGUUUCAGGACCUAGACCGAACAUCCGUCGUUAGGCCGCAAACCG
This 199-nucleotide long non-coding RNA is filed under the name Elaeis guineensis (African oil palm). Its description in RNAcentral is "long non-coding RNA (EGUI_LNC070820)". Lineage: Eukaryota; Viridiplantae; Streptophyta; Magnoliopsida; Arecales; Arecaceae. The record is from RNAcentral.